Chrysemys picta bellii (western painted turtle) is the source of this 915-nucleotide long non-coding RNA. RefSeq lists it as uncharacterized. NCBI's taxonomy places the organism in Eukaryota, Metazoa, Chordata, Testudines, Emydidae. The record is from RefSeq and is a predicted model, not a curated record.
UUCCUGCAUCUGCGAGCCCAGUUCUUCCUACUCCCAAAAACAUGACGAGUCCAUGUAUGCUUCACUCAGCCAAGCGGAUAUCCUCCCAUGGACAGGCAUUUCAGCUGCCACCUCUGCUAAGGGUCCACUGAGCUGUGGCCUCAGCUCCACCAUAUACUGGUCUGUAGAGAAGCUGUAUCCAAGGUGCUGUGGGCAGAGACUGCAGCAGCAAUGAGCCAAGCAGCAGCAAGCAGAAUGCAGAUGGCUGCCUGCGGAAGCUGUGGUAUGUAUAUAGUCCUAGCAGGUGAGCUGGAACAGAGGUAUGUUUGCAUGAAGUGCCGCCUUAUAGCGUUACUGGAAGAAAAGAUUAAGGGGUUGCAGAUGCAGGUAGAUACCCUGGUGGAGUUUAGACAGGGCUUUGAGCAGCUGAUGGAGGACAGGCUAGGAGGGACUGAAGGGGAAUGCUCAGGGGUGCAGGUGGAAGCAGAGGUAGAGGACAGUGAGGGGGGAACGUUAGAGGGAGAACAAGGGCAGUGGAAGCAUGUGACCGUGAGAAGCAGGCCAAGGAAAAGGAGGGCUAGUGAGGGGGAAAUAGAACUCAGGAACAGGUUUGGGUGUUUGGAUAAUGAGGAGGGUGGGCAGCAGGUGGUGAAUGAAGGUGGGAGAGUGAGGAAGAAGAGAAGAGCGGCUAGUCCAAUAGAGAGAGGGGAGGAGUUGAUGGAGACAGCACCAAUUCUGGGCCCCCGGAGGAUUCAGGAAGGCACAAGGGGGAGUAUGAGGGAAGAUAGGAACAGACACAGGUUAGGACUAGAGAGAUCAGAGACUAGAUUAGUAGAUCGCACUGUUGCCAGGCGACGGCAGGUGUAUGUGAUUGGGGAUUCUUUACUGAGGAGAUUAGACAGGCCUGUGACCAGGGCGGACCCGGAGAACAGAAGG